Molecule: ribosomal RNA, 480 nt
Filed under: uncultured bacterium
Lineage: Bacteria
Description: bacterial SSU rRNA
Rfam family: Bacterial small subunit ribosomal RNA
Source: RNAcentral
AUUGAACGCUGGCGGAAUGCUUUACACAUGCAAGUCGAACGGCAGCACGGGGCAACCUGGUGGCGAGUGGCGAACGGGUGAGUAAUACAUCGGAACGUGCCCAAUCGUGGGGGAUAACGUAGCGAAAGUUACGCUAAUACCGCAUACGAUCUACGGAUGAAAGCGGGGGAUCGCAAGACCUCGCGCGAAUGGAGCGGCCGAUGUCAGAUUAGGUAGUUGGUGGGGUAAAGGCUCACCAAGCCAACGAUCUGUAGCUGGUCUGAGAGGACGACCAGCCACACUGGAACUGAGACACGGUCCAGACUCCUACGGGAGGCAGCAGUGGGGAAUUUUGGACAAUGGGCGCAAGCCUGAUCCAGCCAUUCCGCGUGCAGGAUGAAGGUCUUCGGAUUGUAAAGUGCUUUCAGUAGGGAAGAAAAAAAAUAGACGGUACCUACAGAAGAAGCGACGGCUAAAUAUAGUGCCAGCAGCCGCGGUAAU